CAGCUUGUACAUUUAUCACUGUAAGGAAAGCAUCCUGCCAGUACUGGUUAGGCAAAGUGUACUUGUAGCCAUUAGUAGUCCAGUCUGAUUAUCGGGCUCAAUCUGUUUCUAAUGGCAACCUUUGCAGUGACAGCAUUGUUUCCAUCUGUGCUCACAUGAGAGAUUUGAAAUCUUAGCGUUUAAAGUUCUUACAGACACAAUUAUUUCCUUUCUUAGGGAUUGUUCCAGCUGGUGUUCGGCAACCCGGUGUACCUGCAACGAGCAAGCUGGCCCCUACCUUCUGCUUAGCAAGCCAAGUCAUAGUUAGCCAGGAUUGCCUCCGAUUACAACAGGUACUGUGACUUGAUAUCUGAGGUUUGUUCUCUUAAACUACCUGCAGUUCUCCUGCCCAGCACUCCAGUGAAUGACAGCACUGCUGCUCCUUCUCAGAGAGAGAUGUGUCGGCCAGAGUAGAAAAUCCAGAACUCUUGAACCUCUCUAUCUGACAUCUACACAAACUGUUCAGCAGUGGGAGACAGGCAGCCAUACCAUACCAACAUACCAUACCAGUUACGGUAUUUCUGUUGCUUUUUUGGCAUCUUCUCUCACAAUCAGCUGAGCUUACGAGAAACUAAGGAAAAAGUCAUAAAAAAGUUGGUUGGAAGGAGCCUUAACCUGAUGCUUGGACCAGGACUGACAGCAGUAGUAACUCAAGGCAGCCUAUUGUAUGCAAAUAGCCAUUAACCACGGAUCCUCAAAGCCAGACUUAUUUUCAUUCCAGAUUUCCAACCCUGCUACAGCAGCACAGCAUUCCUAAAACAGGAGCAGGGGUUGUAGCUGAAGAUAAAGUGUGGUGGCCUCCAUCAUCCCGUCCAGUUCCAGUGCCACUAAUAGCUAAGGUGACUAACAGAAACGCUUGGGCUCCUCUGACGAAAUGUGACGAAGGAACAGAAGCGACGUGGGAGAACAACGUUCAUCUCUGUGAUGUCCCGUCUGUGGUCCAUCUGCCUCUGAAUGCCACACAGCGCUCCUCAGCACCACUCAUGAAUUUCCUGAGCUGUCGCAAAGACUUUCCUCCCAAGUCUACCUAUUGGUUUGCUAGACUGCAAAAUUUAACCGAAGCUGGUGAGUUCCUUUUAAAUUUAUAUAAAAGGAUAAAAGUAGUCACUGCAAGUUUAUGAAUUGCAUCUUUCGCAAUCCAAGGCAGAGAUUUGACCUUGAAGCUUUAUACCCAGUUAGGUUUGAGACUGAGUUGGAAAUAUAUAGGCAAAAAGUGUGCAUGAAUUUGCUACAGUAGUUGAAGUCUUUAUUUACUACAAGCUCAUAGGCUAAUUAAGUUAUCAUAGUUCCUUUUGCAUACUGUAAUUUAUAGCUUUCCUGCUAACCCAGUGAAGAGCCAUCUUGUCAGCCUAUCUGGAUAUCCCAGAGAGCCUACAACUUUUUUCACUUUCUGACAGAGAACAGAACGGCAACAUCAUGAAAUUUCCAACAAAAUGAACCGGUCCAGCUAGUGCCAGCUGCUGACGGGCUGAGUUUGGGGCUGCCGUUAACUUCUCAUAACAGAAAACAUGUUCUGACAGUGAGCCAGCCACAGAACCUACCCGACGUCGUGCCAGACCUCCCACCAGCUUCUCAGCUCUGCCUUCAACAUAUGCUGGCUUCCCACUGGCAAUGGUGAGGUAACUCCUCGAUUUGGAGGGAGAAAACUAUGAGCCACUGAACUUCUGCAGCUCCUUGGAUGUGUCCUCUGACAGAGUGCAUCUAUCAGCCAGUGUCUAAUGGUUAAUCACGCCUAGAAAACAUAAUGUGGCAUUUAAUAAGCCAGGGUAAAGAACCUUCC
Molecule: long non-coding RNA, 1819 nt
Organism: Calidris pygmaea (Spoon-billed sandpiper)
Lineage: Eukaryota; Metazoa; Chordata; Aves; Charadriiformes; Scolopacidae
Source: Ensembl